RNAcentral lists this small RNA (2120 nucleotides) under Rattus norvegicus (Norway rat). Its description in RNAcentral is "uncharacterized LOC102547728". Lineage: Eukaryota; Metazoa; Chordata; Mammalia; Rodentia; Muridae. The record is from RNAcentral.
GUUGCCUUCCGGGGGAGAGCCUGGAAGCGGCCGGGCGUGGCCUAGCUGAGCCGGAAGUCCGGAUGCUUCGCCAGAGCCUGUGCCUCUGGAAAGGUUCUCCAAGAAGCCUCUCUUCACCUCCUCCUUCCCUAUGAGUUCUCAUACCACACCGGAGAUCUGGCAUGGAGGAGUGGCAAAUAUUUGCAAUAGGCAAAAGAGAUGACUCAGUCAAGUGCUGCACAUCAAGGACCUGAGUUCAAAUCGCCAGAACACAGUAAAAGGCAAGUGCGACAUAACUCCUGUAAUCUCUGCAGUAAGAGUAGUAGGAUGGCUGAAACUCCUUGGCCAGCUAAGCUAGCCUAACCAAAUCAGCGAGAUGGUGGACCCUGGGCCUUUAUACUAACAAAUGCACCCAACACACAUCAAAGUUUUAAUAUAAGGCAUAAUAAAAACACUGUGUAGCUAGUUGAUUGCUUUAUAUAAAUAUUAAUGUUUAGUCAUAAUACCUGUACUAUUGAGGCAGGUAAGUAAUUUUAUUUACAGCUAUGACUGAGCCACAGACUGUUCAAUAGUAUACCUGUGGAAUAUGGGCUCAUUGCAUUGGAUAAUAACCUGAAAUCAUUCACUUUCAAAUUUAAGCAAUAAACUUUGACUGGAUCUAUACACAGAGGCCCCACUAAAACAAAAUGAGUCUUCGCCAGAAUUAAAAGCUUCAGGGGAAGAGAGAUGAAUUACAUUGUACCAGAGUUUUCCUUAGGACCUUUGCCUUGAGUUCCUUCUACUUUGUAUUUAAUAAAAAGAGAAACAAAACAUACCAAGAAACUUUAUUCUCAUUGGUUGAUUGUUCAUAGAAACUGACUACAUGGAUUUCCAGUCUUUUCACCCCAACUUUGAAAUGCUACAAAUCCAAUGUAACAGACAAGGAUCUCUGCAGCUGGUCUCUUUCCAUCCUCUGCCAUUUUGUAACAUCUCCAGGUCCUCUCUAUGUCUGGAUCAGUUUGGUUUUUGAAAGAGAGGUGGCCUGGAACUAGUGGCAGUCCUCCUGCCUCAACCUCCCAAAUAUUCUGACUAUAGAAAUACAGUAUAACACCCAGCUGAGACUGCAGGUUGUUUCAUCCACUGUGGGCCUGCUGUCUAGACUGAGACAGACUAUGAAGUUCAGGGUCCUCUGAACCCAACCACAACAGCCUUGGCCUCCCUGGAAAGCCUCCAUAUAAGCUGAGAUGAAGCCAGCAGCAGACAUCGUCAGGAAGUCAGCUUGUAUAACCAUCGUUCUGUUCACUUGCAGAAGAGCAGUAAGAAGCUUCACCACUAAGGAAACAGCAGACUUUCCACCACUGUCAACAUCACACAGAUCUUUGAUGAAGCAAAGAAACAUCACUGCUGCUAACAUAGUGCUAGCUGCCAUCGCUGUGGACAGCAAACUGUCACGAAGUUUGGAGGUAAAAAGAGCUCAUGAAGCAGCCAACAAUCAUGUAGAUCAAAGGAAGAAAUGAAAAUAUGGAACAACCUUUCUCUUGGGGACCAGAUAGGAGUAUAAUUAUUGUACAUUAUGUUUUAUAGAACAAAAAAAAGGGAGAGAAGGAUGGGAGCUGUAAACAGCAGCAAAUUCACAACCUAAGACUUGUUCUUGCUUUAUGUUCAGAACUCAGUAUUGUUGAUCAUGUUGAUACAAUUCAGUAAGUUCCUAUAGGGUUAGGAAACCUUGCUCAAAUAAGUCUUUCUCCUGAUUCAGGCUGGUAAGAAGUCAUUGUGGUGCAAGCAAGCAUAGGGAAUAACUUAUCCUGGACUCUACUACAUGUGGGCUAUGUGACACAGCGCUGCUAACAAGGCAUCUAGCAACCUAGGACUCUAACCUGCAUGUAAACCCCACUUCAAAGCACCGAAUUAGUUACUCCUUGCUAACAACUUGGUGACGACUUCCAUUUUGUGGUUUGUGUCUUAGUUAUUUUUCUAUUGCUGUGGGAAGACACUAUGACCAAGCAAACUUAUAGGGGGAAAAGGUUUAUUUGGGGCUUCCUUCCGUUUCCAAGGAUUACUCCAUGACCAGCAUAGUGGAGAGUGUGGCAGCAGGCAGGCAGGCUUGGUACUGGAGCAAUAGCUAAGGACUUACAUGUUGAGACAAUAACUCUGAGGAGAAA